GAGGACGCUGCGGGUUCGCCGUGCUCAUUGGCUGAGGAGAGAAGGGGGAAGGCGCAGCGCAGCCGUGUUCUUCUCGUAUUGGUCAGCGGGACGAACGCUGCGGCCAAUCGGCAGCCAGGAUGAGAGGAAGGCCGGCACAGGGAGCAGGAGGGGGCGGGCCUGUGUUGCCGUAGCAGCAAGACGCCGCGAGGCGGGGCAAGCCGCGCAGAGGAUAUGAUACAGCUGGAAAAGACUUGGAGAAGGAUGACAAAGACAGCAGAAGGCAGAGAAGGACUUUAUUACCAGUAGCAGCAGAUCUACAGAGAAUGAGUCAAGCUGGUGACGAAAGUUCCAGUUCUGAUGAAAAAGAAUUGGAAGUUGAGAAGGAGCAACCUAUCUGUGCCUUAGCUCCAACAGUAUAUACCCGAGAUGAAGGAUCCACUGAUGUAACAUCAAGUCCUGCAUUUCAGUGUUUAGAUGAGGUAUCAUGUACUCUAGUUUUCUUAGCUACAGCGGUGCAUAUUGUGUCAAAAUCAAAUAAUUGAAAAUGUAUAUUUUUUUGUUAAUAGUUGAAGCACGCUACCAUAGGUUAUCUAUAGCUUUUCUAUCUUCUCUAAUUUUUGUUCUAAGGCAUAAGAAUGUUUUAUGAAGAAGGACCAAGCAUAUACUUCUUGCUGGAGACGGUGUGCCUAAUGGAUACCCGUGUUGCUCCUUUCAGGGAGUGUUGCUUUAAAAGGUCACCGCAGAGGUUGUUGCAUCGAUACUAGAUUAAAUCUUGGAAUAUCUUUCAAAAUUUUUCCACACAAAGUAUUUUGUAUCAUAUUUUCUCUGAAUUACCAGCUAGUCAUUUAUACCUUUGUAGCAGUAAAUACUUAUCAGAAGGAACACCUUUUGAUGUUAAGAUUUAUUUGAGAACAAAUAUAGGCCUUCUGGCAGUAAACCUUCCAACCAAAUCAGUCUUGUAUUUCUCGUGAAAAUAGCAGAAAUUUCAAAAAGUCAAGCUUGCAGAACUUUUUCCUUCAUUUUUAAUAACACAUAGUAACAGUGUUUAGUCAUGUGGAGUUGGGAAAAUUAUUAAAAGCUGGCUAGAGGUUUGAACAAAAGCCCCUCAGUCCAUCAUGACUUACUUUUUUCAUGAAGCAUUUUUAUUUAUCACCAAGAUGACAUCAAAUAUAACUCAGUACUUCCACUGCUGUUGGUUAGAGGACUGUCAUACAUUCAAAAAAUGAACUUUUCACUUCUUUUAGCCUUUGCUAUUAUGUCCUUGAAAUGAAGACUUUUGCUCUAAUACUUCUAAUUGAUUCUCUUGUCUUGUGUAUCUUAACUCAUAAUCCUGUUCUCUUCUAGUGUAUACUUUUAGAAAUAAAUAAAUCUGUAUGAUGUGAAUAAGUUUAAUGGAAAACUACACAUUCUGGUACCUACUUUAUGAAACAAAUAUACCACUUAGAUAAAUUAAGAUUCUAUAUACUUUGCUAGUUAAUUUUGAAUUUUGUGCAUUAUGGACAAGGUAUAUGCAACUGUAUUCUUAAAAGCAAUGCAAAUAUAUUGAAUUUUGUCAUGUCCAUUAUCUCAAUUUUAAGAUAUAUUAACAAAUUAAUAAAAUAAAUAUUCUACUAGUAACUAGCUUCAUCAAAAUGGUCUGAAGCCAGUCUUCCUUUCUUUGCUUUCUAAUUGCUUUCUUUUCCAACAGAUGUUACAAUUAUACAUUUCACCUCUGUCUGCAACUCUCUUUAUCCUUAUGUCAUCAUUGUUACUUUACUUUCACUGCUGUAACAACACAGGAGAUACUGAAAUUGCCAUUUGCAGUGAGAAAUCUACCAAACAUGACACAAAACUGGUGUAAAUGCUCAAAAUGAAGAGAGCAGGGGCAAUGGAAAUAAAUUACAACCAAAUUGCCUCCUGCCUACUCUCAUAAUUUCUCUCCUCAUAAUUUUGGCUCUUCCCUGUGCUGUAGCAGCAUUAUUUCCCACUAAUUAUUUUCCUUUCUUCCACCCGAUCCAGGCUCCUUUAAUAAGAACAUAAAUGAAUAGAAUAAAUGUCUGUAUGUCUGUUGUCAUAAUGAUGCUGCUGGUAUUCAGUUUGUAAUCUAUUAUAAUCUCCAAAUCCUUUUCAGAUACUAGGCCUUUUUUUUUUUUUUUGACCCAAUUAAGAUUAAAUCCUAAAUAUAGAAAAGAGCCCUACUCUGUACAUCUUUUCAAUUCAAUAGUGAAUCAUUGACAGCUACACUCUAGGGACAGUUUUCCAGCUACUAUAUCUUUACAAAAUUACAAAGGUUUGAUAAAAUUGAUGAUCUGCUUACAAAAUAUGUUGUUUCAUCUUUCUGAUUGAAAUGACUAUCCAAAACUCAGUAAUCUUCAGGUUCUUUCAAGAAGAAGAAAUUAGUUUGAUGGACUAAUAUCUUUUUUUUCUAUCUAGUUAAUGCUGUUUAUU
This is a non-coding RNA of Meleagris gallopavo (turkey), 2409 nucleotides long. NCBI's taxonomy places the organism in Eukaryota, Metazoa, Chordata, Aves, Galliformes, Phasianidae. The record is from RefSeq and is a predicted model, not a curated record.